This 206-nucleotide ribosomal RNA is filed under the name uncultured Acholeplasma sp. Its description in RNAcentral is "partial 16S ribosomal RNA". It matches the Rfam family "Bacterial small subunit ribosomal RNA", at positions 1179 to 1373 of the family's 1533-position model. Lineage: Bacteria; Bacillati; Mycoplasmatota; Mollicutes; Acholeplasmatales; Acholeplasmataceae. The record is from RNAcentral.
AUGACGUCAAAUCAGUCAUGCCCCUUAUGACCUGGGCUACAAACGUGAUACAAUGGCUGGAACAAAGGGAUGCGAAGCAGUGAUGUGGAGCGAAACCCAUAAAAACAGUCUCAGUUCGGAUUGAAGUCUGCAACUCGACUUCAUGAAGUCGGAAUCGCUAGUAAUCGCGGAUCAGAACGCCGCGGUGAAUACGUUCGUCGGGGUUU